UCCUGCCACUAGUAAAAUACAGACCUAAAUCCUGCCUGACAUAUCUAACUUUGUUUCUAGAGUGUAACUGAGGUCUCCUCUCCCACCUUGUUCCAAGAGUUCCACUGGGAUUUCCUGUCAUGGGCAGCAGUGUGAUCUGUUCCUGCUCAGGUU
RNAcentral lists this long non-coding RNA (153 nucleotides) under Taeniopygia guttata (zebra finch). RNAcentral's name for it is "lncRNA (ENSTGUG00000022714.1)". The record is from RNAcentral. Lineage: Eukaryota; Metazoa; Chordata; Aves; Passeriformes; Estrildidae.